This 233-nucleotide ribosomal RNA is filed under the name uncultured bacterium. RNAcentral's name for it is "partial 16S ribosomal RNA". It matches the Rfam family "Bacterial small subunit ribosomal RNA", at positions 118 to 350 of the family's 1533-position model. The record is from RNAcentral.
UGAGUAACCUGCCCUGGACUUUGGGAUAACCCUCGGAAACGGGGGCUAAUACCGGAUAUGACGGCUCACCGCAUGGUGUGGUUGUGGAAAAGUUUUUCGGUCUGGGAUGGGCUCGCGGCCUAUCAGCUUGUUGGUGGGGUGAUGGCCUACCAAGGCGACGACGGGUAGCCGGCCUGAGAGGGCGACCGGCCACACUGGGACUGAGACACGGCCCAGACUCCGUACGGGAGGCA